Molecule: long non-coding RNA, 3625 nt
Filed under: Homo sapiens (human)
Lineage: Eukaryota; Metazoa; Chordata; Mammalia; Primates; Hominidae
Description: HSALNT0012573
Source: RNAcentral
GAGAGCUCCCGCCGCGGCCCCGCGGGCGCCGGCCCCCUGGCCUCCACACCCCUAGCAGCAUUCCUGCCUGCUGAGUUUCCUGGAUUUGCUGAGCUAAACAAGUUCAUUCGCACCCAGUUCCACCUGGGAUGAAGAUCCAUCUACAGGGCUGGAACUGACAGGGAAAACUUUUCAUCCCAUCUGAGGUCACCUUCACUUACAGGAUGCUGGCUGCUGAUAAGUAUCCUAUCAGGAGAAGAAGAGAAAAAUAAUUUGACACUUAUAGCCUGUCUUGAAAGAUGAGAUUCACUUAUCAGCAAACCAGAUGAAGAGAAUCACUGAGCACAGAAAUGAGAUCUGAGCACACUAGAGCUCAACUAAUGUAUCCCUGCCCACACAGGGUUAGUCUCUACAAAUUGCCUAUUUCAGUUAUUUAGCCCCAUUUUUUUCCCAGAGAUGGUGUGUUUCGUAUAAUCAAUAGCUACAAAAUAAAAGCAGCAUCUGCCUUGCCUUCUUUUCCCGUUAUUUGGCUGUGGCCUCCUAACAAUGAGACAAACAGAGAAGAGAGAAGUAAACAAGAAAUCAAAGAGAUCUAGGGGAGAUAGCUAAUGUGGGGGUGAGGAGAGAAGCAAAUACCGGGUUCACAACAGGUUGAAUCAUUGCCAAGGAACCCAGAUUGACAAGUAUGAUAUACUGUUGAGAUUCUCAGUGGCAACCGUUGCCAGUUUUGCAAAAGAGCAGUGUUAUUGGAGCCGGAUUUGGAAAGCAGAUUUUGUGAAAAGUCUAGGAUACUGCUGUCUCCCAGGACUUGGUUCUAAUUUUGUCUUUGGGCUGUCCUCAAUGCUCCCACCUCUCACGCAUGUGUUCUAUUUGGGGGCUUAUUGUGGAGGAAGCCAGCUAAUGCUACAUCCAGAAAGAGGGAGAAAAAAAGUCCAAAUAUAUAUUUUUCUUUAUUGAAAUAGAAAAACAAACUCAAAAUUAUCUGCAUUUUAUGUUUCCAGCCAUCCUUAGUCACAGACAGAGCUCAGCAAUAUGCUCACCUUGGCCCACUGAGAGCAGAUAUUUCACAGACAAUUUUUUGCUCACCUGUAAAAGUUCGUCUCUCCCCAGCUGAGUAUUGGUUCCCCACCCUUCUCCUUCUUCAGACUCUACUCUAAUCCCCAUGCAUUCCCAGGCUUCCUGGGGCUGAUGUGGGAAGACAAAGGAGGAACCCAGGACCCUAAGAAAAGGCAGCCUUCUGAUACCCACUGCUAUGGGAUCAUUAUAGGAGGGCCAGUACUUGGUGGGUAGUUGUGAGAUGCAGCAUAACUGUGUUCUCUGCAGGCAGGGCUUCUCCCUCAGGCUUGAGUUGUAUUUUCCAUGAACUUGUGCUGGGCCUUCCAGUGCCCAGCUCUUAGUCUUAGAAACUCCUUUGCUGCUAAGACCUUUCAGAGUGAGGCCUGAGGUAAGAGCAAAGCUGAAGGAGAUCAGGUGGCAGGCCUGCUCCAGUCCUGGUCUGGUCCUGGGGAUGAGCAUGUUGUGCAGGAUGGUAGGUUGGUUCUCCCCAUCUCGAGCCUUUGGGUGCUCUGGUUUGUUUGGCAUAUGGGUAUGCACUGGGUUGGUCCCUAGGAUCCUCUGCCUGCCUUUUAGAAUGUAUGAAGUGGUCCUGGUUCCACCCUAAUGUGAAAGAAGAUCUUGCCAUCGUAUAGGCAAGAGCAGUGGGUCCCAACACAAGGCCUAAUGAUGGCCAUCAUAAGAUGAUCAGACCAUCUUUUUGUUAUUUGAGUUACAAUAACAAAGUAGAUCGAAGAUAGGUCCACUCUGUAGAACUAAAGUCAUAUGCAUUGCUUUUCUCUACUUGCCGAAUUGCUGUCUAGCACCCCCUUUUCUCUCUGAACUCCUCAUCUUUUCAAGGGCAUAAGGACUCCUAUUCUGAUUAGGACAAAAUGCAGGAAUUUGUUUUGAAUUUUCUCUUCAUUUCGGGUGCUGUGAGCACUUGGGCUUGGAGUUGGAGUGGUAGCUGGGUAUUAGGCCUUGACUGGGCUUUCCUCAUUUUCAGCAGAGCCCAGCUGGCUUUGGCCCGGUUUGGAGAUUCUCCAACCAAGUCCCACCCUCAGAGAGGUUGCCAUACUCUCGCCAUUAGAGAAGCCAGCGGGGAGUUACAGCCACAGCAGCUUUUGCAGAAUCCCUAGGAGACCUACAGGGACAAAGCAGAGUAAAGGAAAAGGUCCUGGAGAGGUGAGAUUUUCUCCAUUUUCAACAAGAGUUUUAGACGACAUUUUCCAAAAGUUGCUACAGCUCAUACAACUGCUUUGCAAAUUCAACAUUUGAGUUUGGCCCACUGAAAAAAAAGUUCACUUACUACUACUACUUUCUGUCUAUGUUGUGUUUCAGGCUUAGAGCCAGGCUUAGAGUUGUGAUGAAAAGGAAAGCUCUGACUAAAAUAAUAUUUCUUGUCAUAGUAGUUAUUUUGUUUCAUAAGUAUUGACAUGUAGGUUGUUACUGCAUUUUACAGAUGAGGAAACUGAGCCUUAGGACUCAGAAAUAUUGUGAGGAACACAGUAAGAACAAGACACGUUAGGCGUUAUUAUCCUAGGUUUAACCUGUUGCUAUUUGAGAAUGGCAUAGAGAGAAACAAAAGCUAUUACUUAGAGAAAGCUGGCUACUCUCUUAGACCAGCUUUGAAGGAUAAGGACCCUGGUUAGGCCAUCACAGUCUAGGUCCAUAGUUCUCAGUCUUUGGCUUACAUCAGAAUCAGCUGUGGAGCUUUAAAAAAUAGAGAUUCCUAGGUCUUAUCCCAUACCUCCCAAAUUAGAAUCUCCAGGGACAGGUCUUGGAAGUCAACAUUAAAAAAAAAUAAUGAAAAAACAAAAUAUCCUUGGUUGAGUGAUACUGUUGGGCAGCAAGUUUGGAAACGAUCUAAGGUUUUACCUCUAAUUUUGGUCCAGAAAAUUCCUUGCCAGAGGUAAUAAGUCUUCUGGAGAUGGACUCACAUUAACACAAUUAUGACAUGUGACUGAUACAUGGAUUAGAGUGACAACUGACAGUGAGAACUACCUUGUUGUUAGCCUAACAAGACCAUCGGGCUCUUGUUGGUAGAAGGUUAUGCUUUUCCCCGAGGCUGCAUGUAGCCAGGUGAGCAGAGACCAAAGGUGGAGAAAGUGGAUGAUCAUGAGAGGCAGGACCAUCAAACAUGGUGACCCUGAGGCAUUCAUCUUCCUCAGAAGGUUCCUGCUGUACAAACAGAAUACUCGUGUUCAUGGGCUCAGAUGCAUCACCAGAUUUUAUCUUUGACCAUCCUGUUUACAGGUGCCUUAUCCCCCAUCCCCAUUCUGAAAAUAAUUAUUUUUAUUAGAUACAAAAUACCGUAUAGUUGAUUAGAUUUGCUCUUUUCUAGUUAAAGAUCACAGCCUAAAUGCUCAUAGUUAGCAAGAGUUUUAGAUAAACAGGCACUCAUACUUGACUUGUUACUGGGAAAUUAGCACAAUCUUUUGAUAUGAAGUAUUGGUAGCUACAGGGAUAAUUUUUGGCACUAUUAACAAUACUGAAAAGUUGGAAGCAACCUUUAUGUCCAAGAAUAGAAGUAGAUAAAUUCAUUAUUGUAUAUGCACACACAAAACGGGCUGAUAUAUAGUCAUGGUUUAGAAUAAAAUGUAAUUAAAUGGAA